CUGGAAAAUCAUAACCCACCCUUUCAGAAAAGCGAGAUGUAUCAGCGUUCUAUUUCCCUGUUGCCGAAUAGUGUGGCUCUCUAAAAAAUUGAAACUCUAAAUUUCUAUGUAGUAACGAAUUAUGGACUCUAAAGAAUGUCUGCAUCUUUUCACAUGACCCACCCUUUCCUUGCCGCCAAACCUUUCCUGACCCACCCAUUUAACCAUGCUGAAAAAGGAUGAUCCCCCUGGCUCCCCUACUUUUUCAAGCCCCUCCCUUAUAUUUUAUGACCAGUCCCUUUAUAUAUUAACAAAACCGUUAUGAAUAUAAACAUGAUACUG
Molecule: non-coding RNA, 321 nt
Organism: Paramuricea clavata
Lineage: Eukaryota; Metazoa; Cnidaria; Anthozoa; Malacalcyonacea; Plexauridae
Source: the annotation of a GenBank genome assembly